CGAGUUAUCGUCUAGCGGUAGGACCGCGGACUCUGACUCCGCUAACCGUGGUUCGAAUCCACGUCCCCCAGCCA
Molecule: transfer RNA, 74 nt
Filed under: mine drainage metagenome
Description: tRNA-Gln
Rfam family: tRNA (bases 7-64)
About the family: Transfer RNA (tRNA) molecules are approximately 80 nucleotides in length. Their secondary structure includes four short double-helical elements and three loops (D, anti-codon, and T loops).
Source: RNAcentral